UUACACUGCCUCACAUUCCUGACCAUGCACUCACCGCACAUAGGUGAGCGAUUUUUGCUUAUUUAGUUAAAUUUUGGAUGCCCCCCCAAGAAUAGAAUAGAUAUAAAUUAGUGUAUACUAUGGUUUAGCAAGUAUAAGAAGGCACAUGACGUGAAUGUUCAAAAACGUAUGCCGCCGUGCACUGACCGUACAUAUGGGAAAGCAUUUUAUGACCACCCCCUCCUUCUAAAAUACCCCAAUUUCAUACCCCGCCCCCCAAUUUUUUUAAACACCCCAAAUUUAAAAAUCCCAUGUUUUUCCUUGUUCUAAACAACCCUUAUCCUACCCCCUUCUAUCAUCUCCUCUCUUAAGCCUCCAAUCCUACACUUAAUUGCAGUACCCUCUUCCAUUUAUUCCUUUCCCCAUAUCCUUACACGCUUUUCCUCAAGUAAGUGAGUUGUUUUCUCCCUCUUAGUUUAGUUUAUUCUUUUUUUCUUUUUCUUGUGUUAUAGUAUAUUUUUAUUAGUUCUUUCAUUCUAGUUAUAUUUAUUUUCUUAUUAGGCAGGAGUUGAAUUUCACCAUGUAUAGUUUGGCGUGACAUUGGUGUAUAAUUCAUCUAAUUAGGGCUAAAAAUUAUUUUGUUUAGGGGUUCAGUAGAACUAUGCAUAUCAGGUGUUUGUAUAAAUGUCACAAAGAGUUUGAGAGCAAUAUUGUAACCAAGUGUGUUGGUGAAGUCUAAGUAAUCUCUCUUGGUUCAUAAAUUAUGCCUUCAGCUAAUAUUUGGUAAUUGUUAUAUAUAUUAUAAUGCUGUCUAGGAAAUUAAAAACCACAGGUGCUUCCUUAAGUGGUCAUGUUGGCUCAUCCCGAUCACGUGCUUCUGCUACUGUUCGGCCGUACAAUACUCGUCUCUAGUGCUGCCCAGGAAUGAUUAUGUUUUAAGGAAAGAAAGAAACCCAUACUGGAGAGGACAAUUGAUAUGAGAUCCCUCCAUAAUGAUUGUCCCACUAUGUAUUAUGAAUUGGUCAAGCGAGGGUUGGGGAUAUCUUUUAAGGAACAUGAAGAGGCCAACUUAAUAAUUAUUUAGGAGUUUUAUGCAAACUUACCGAAAAAUGUCAACCAUGUCUGCAUAGCUCAAAAGAAGAGUGUGGACAUAUCCAUAGAGGCCAUUCGAAGGGCCUACCGUUCGCUAAUGUUUGGUGUAAAUCUGAAAAUAGCAGACUAUUAUGACACGUAUAGCAAAGAACCACCCAUAUGGGAACUAUUUUUUUGAACCAUUUGUGUGACAAACAAGGAGGUAAUGUGGCUAACUCGCGGCAAAAGUUUCAUUUGUCAUCGCUCACCUUUGAAGGGAAGUGCAGGCUCCAUAUCAUAAAUAGCCGCUUGGUGCCUUCCUCAAACACCACUGAGGUGAAUUGUGCCCAAGCCGCACUAAUCUGGUGCUUUAUCAAUGGCCAUAACCUUGAUAUGGCUAAGGUUAUUCACGGCGUGAUAUUCAUUGGCUGUCUUGUAUAUAGUUAUGGUUUAUUUUUUCCAUCAUUCAUCACUCGGUUAUUCCGUGAAGCACGUGUACCGAAAAGCAGGAACAUGGAUGGGUAAGUCAAAAAGGUGAAAAGAAAUUUAUGAUGAUAAAGUAUUAAUUGUGAAGGACCUUACUGGGCUUGUACAGGUAGCUAAGGAUGAGUUUGAUGCGCCCGAUGAUGGCAAUAAGGUGCAAGAUGAAGAUGUUGCUACCUCCUUGCCGCAUAAGCAUGCUAUUGGGGGAACCUCAUGUAGCAUAUGGGAGAGAAGAAUGAGUGCUUGAAAGCAGGGGAUGGCAGGGAUGUCUGCCUCUAUCAUAAACUUGGGAGCUCGAGUGGAUGCCCUUGCCACACAAAAUGCAAACUUUGAGAGAAUGAUCAUAGCAUGGCUGCAUGCACUUGGUCGGGCUUGCCAUAUAGACCCCGUCACUAUCUUUGACACAGACUAAAUCAGGAAUGUUUUUUUAACUUGCAUUUUUUUGUGUGUGACAUGGGGACAUUCCACCAUUUAAAGUGUGGGGUAGCAGCUAAAUAAAAAAAAAAUUAAAUUUAAAAUUUUCGUCUUUUCUCGGUGAUGGAUAUCUAUUAUUCAGGUUUCUUGAAGGAUUUAAUUUUAAAGAAAAAUAUCAAAACUAUUUUCUUUUGUUAGGUACUGUAUUUAUUCCCCCUUGUUCUUUCUUUGUGUUGCGGUUCUUUUCGAAGGGUUUUGUUUUAACUGGGUGUAGUUAGCUUUUGUUUUCUUUAGGAUUAGGGAAACCUUGCGCUAUGAGUUGAAUAAAAGGCAAUAUCUCUUGACUUGAUCAUGCCUUGAGAAUAAUUAGUGCUCUGAUUGUGACGUUUAGGAUCAGUCUUUCACUCUUGUAUAAGUACCGUAAUUUAUAAGAUCUUAACUUUGCUUAACUGCUUUUACUAGAGUAUCUUGAUGAGUCCAAUCUUGAGUGAAUUAUGUGCCAUGUGUUUGUGAGCUUUGUGUUAUUUUGUGCAAUGCACUUGAUGUCUAGAACUUUUCCCGUGUGUUUGUAAAGCAAAAUAGUAGUUUUAUUUAGUCUAGGAAGUGAUAUAGGCAUUAUUUUGUUGAGCCAGUUAUAAGCUUUUGCCCACUUAAUUGUUAUGUAUCUUCGUUAACCCGUUUGAACCUAUUAACCUAUUUCUUUGGCAACCACAUUAUAAGCCUUACCUAGUUAUUUGAAUUGACAAUCUAUUUGAACAUUGUACAUCUUGUGAGCACUUGAAUUUAUUAUGAACUGUGUAAAAGUUAAUGUGAUGGGUGGUUGGGCGUUUGAGUGGAACUAAUGAAAUAAGGAGAAAAGUGUAAUGUUUUGAAAAAGUGUGAGCCGUUUGAAUUGAAUAAGAGAAGAAAGAAAAAAUAUUAAUCGUAUGCUUGUGAAGAAUAUUCUUUGAUAGUGGUGACUCUUGAUUUAACUGUGCUUAAAUAAUUUGGUAGUUGAUGUAUAUUGGUGUGAAGGUUGGGUUUUGGUUUUACAUAAGUACAAGGUUUUAAAUGUUAAAGUCUCUGUAUUAAAGUUCUUAGGGAGGUGCGGUCACUCUUUUAUCUAAAUAUAUCCACGCAACCUACAUUAAAACCAGUUGAAGUCCUACUUGUUCCUUGACUGAAUGAGCUCAAUUAGUAAAGUAGUACACUACGGGAAAGCCUAUAAUUCAUAUUUUUUGGUAUGAAUGUUAGUUCUGAGAGUGAGUGAAUUCUUUCUAUCAUGAGUUCCUAAUUGCUCUUAACUUUUAUUUUGUCUGGAACUACUCUCUUUUAUUGUAAAUUAAGGAAAGGCAAUGUUAUUGACCUAUAUGUUAGAGAAAGUGAAUUGAUUAUAGAUAAUGCGUUGUGCUGUCGAGUCAAACUUUGAGGUUAAGAGGUCAAAAUAUUGCACUUAAUUUGUUUCAAAGAGGCUUGGUGUGAUGUGUCUAGAGUGUUGUUGAAAAGAGGCAUAUUUAGGUGAAGUAUAGUAGGAUUGCUAGGGGACGAAAAUUGAUUUCAGUGUGAGGUGUUGAUGGGAGGCUAUAAUUAUGUAUUUGGCCACUAAUUCCACUAUAACUCGCUGAACUUUAGUAAUGAUUGAGUUUUAAAUGGUAUUAAUUCGCAUGGAUUGCGUAUUUUAUGCUUUGCAGGAGUGAUCUCGAGCUACAAUGAGGUUAGGGAGCGUUUUCGAGCUAGUAUGGAUCUUUGAAGGCUAAGUAAAAGCUUAUGGAAUAAUUUGGGGUUAUGUUCAAGGAUCAAAUAAUGUUGGCGCAUCAAAACGAAGAACAAAGAAGAGAUCAAAAAGUUACCCAAGUGUGCGGCCAUGCAUUGGUCGCACAUGACAAGUAGAAACUGGCCAAAUUGCACAUCCACAUGCGCGAUCACCUACCCAGGCGCGCGGCCGCGCAUGUUUGUCCGAAAAUUUUCCUAGGGCUAAUUUUGUAAAUUUGGAGGCGACAUCUAUUCACCUAUAUUGAGCCCAACUCAUCUAAAAAGAUGGUAUUCCAGAUUUUGAGAGCAACUUAGAAGGGAGAGGAAGGACAAAAGCAACGGGAAAGCAAGAUACUUGAUCUAAUUCACUCAAUACGAGUUUAUUUGAAAUUGUGAUUUGUAAUGUAUUCUUGUUCUUCUAAUACUAUUGCUAUGAAUAGUUUCUCGGUUAUAAAUUAAUUCACCGUAGGGUUAUUGAUAGAUAGUGUGAAUCUACUUUUUUUUGGGUGUUACUCUUUGUUAAUUUCCCAACUUUAUUAAAUGAGUUACUAAUUAUAUUGCAA
Molecule: long non-coding RNA, 4241 nt
Filed under: Nicotiana benthamiana
Lineage: Eukaryota; Viridiplantae; Streptophyta; Magnoliopsida; Solanales; Solanaceae
Description: long non-coding RNA (NBEN_LNC018413)
Source: RNAcentral